Molecule: ribosomal RNA, 465 nt
Filed under: uncultured bacterium
Lineage: Bacteria
Description: partial 16S ribosomal RNA
Rfam family: Bacterial small subunit ribosomal RNA
Source: RNAcentral
CCUACGGGGAGCUGCCGUAGGGAAUUUUCGUCAAUGGGCGCAAGCCUGAACGAGCAAUGCCGCGUGAACGAGGAAGGUCUUCGGAUCGUAAAGUUCUGUUGAAGGGGAAAAAGAGCGGAGAGAGGAAAUGAACUCCGAUUGAUAUUACCCUUCGAGGAAGUCACGGCUAACUACGUGCCAGCAGCCGCGGUAAUACGUAGGUGGCGAGCGUUAUCCGGAAUGAUUGGGCGUAAAGGGUGCGUAGGCGGCCUGCGACGUCUGGAGUGAAAGGUACCGGCUCAACCGGUACAGGCUCUGGAAACUGGCGGGCUAGAGAGCAGGAGAGGGCGGUGGAACUCCAUGUGUAGCGGUAAAAUGCGUAGAUAUAUGGAAGAACACCAGUGGCGAAGGCGGCCGCCUGGCCUGUUACUGACGCUGAGGCACGAAAGCGUGGGGAGCAAAUAGGAUUAGAUACCCCGGGUAGUC